CAGCAUAUGUGGGACCUCCGUCACGACUGUUGGAAAAGCAUUCCAGGUGCACUAUCCAUCCUUCUUAACCUAUGCAGCCAGGUCCCAUCUACUUUUUAACUCCUCGCAAGUGUGGCUUGUUUGGUGUCUGCUGUGAAGGAAUACCACAACAAGUCAACUACUUGAUUGAUUGAUGUAUUUCAGCAAAGGCAGCAGCGCAGUCACCAACGACAUGCGCCAUUUCUUCACCAUCACGGAGUAGGGGAAACGUGUGGACCUGAAUUGUGAUAACUGCAGUGGCAAAAACAAGAACAAGUCUGUGCUCUGGUAUUGUGCCUGGCGGACCAUGCACAAGCUCCACCACAGUUUGGACCUUCACUUCCUGAUCACAGGCCACACCAUGUUUGCCCCCGACUGGUGCUUCAGCCUCAUCAAGCAGUGCUCCAGAUAGACCAGAGGGAACACUUUGUCUGAGAUUGCUGGUGUUGUGAAGGACAGCACUGUGACGGGUCCACAUCCUACAGCUGAUUGGACUGGAGGAUGGUACGGUACUGGUGGAAAGCUAUGGCUGGCAACAACACCUGACUCCGUACUUCAGGCCGCUGCCACAGAUCAAGCAGUACCAGCACUUCAGCUUUGAUGCUCUGGAGCCUGGUGGUGUUGUCGCCAAGGAGCGUUCGGACUCAGUCAGGACCAGGUUUCAUUCAAUACAUCCUUUAAGCCAAAUAAUAUGGAAAUAAGAUAACUCUAGCUGUAGUUAAUGAUAGGGUGUGCAUUGUUACAGUAGCUGGCGGAGUCCUUGCCUAGCUUAUUUUGGUGGGAGUGAUUAAUGUAGUUACAUGUAACAAGGUUACAUGGUGCUACACAGGAGACUGCAAAAGUGUAAUUACAGAACAUGUUAGCUACAUUUGGAACAAGACAUCUUGUAAUUACAUAAAUCACGAGUAAUUACACGUGGAAUAAUCUCAGACAAACUGGUUUGUAAUAACAUAUCUUUGUUACACUUGUGUAAAAACGUAUUACCCUUAUUACAUACACCUGGCCUCCACAAUCCCCCGACCUCAACCAAAUUGAGAUGGUUUUGGAUGAGUCGGACCACAGAAUGAAGGAAAAGCAGCCAACAAGUGCUUAG
Molecule: long non-coding RNA, 1111 nt
Organism: Salvelinus namaycush (lake trout)
Lineage: Eukaryota; Metazoa; Chordata; Actinopteri; Salmoniformes; Salmonidae
Exons: 3
Source: RefSeq, a predicted model, not a curated record